Molecule: ribosomal RNA, 540 nt
Filed under: uncultured Geobacteraceae bacterium
Lineage: Bacteria; Pseudomonadati; Thermodesulfobacteriota; Desulfuromonadia; Geobacterales; Geobacteraceae
Description: bacterial SSU rRNA
Rfam family: Bacterial small subunit ribosomal RNA
Source: RNAcentral
GAGUUUGAUCCUGGCUCAGAACGAACGCUGGCGGCGUGCCUGACACAUGCAAGUCGGACGUGAUCCAGAGCUUGCUCUGGUGAAAGUGGCGCACGGGUGAGUAACGCGUGGAUAACCUACCCUGGUAUCCGGGAUAACAUUCCGAAAGGGGUGCUAAUACCGGAUAAGCCCACGGGCUCUUUGGAGCUUGCGGGAAAAGGUGGCCUCUAUUUAUAAGCUACUGUAUCAGGAUGGGUCCGCGUACCAUUAGCUAGUUGGCGGUGUAACGGACCACCAAGGCGACGAUGGUUAGCUGGUCUGAGAGGAUGAUCAGCCACACUGGAACUGAGACACGGUCCAGACUCCUACGGGAGGCGGCAGUGGGGAAUUUUGCGCAAUGGGGGAAACCCUGACGCAGCAACGCCGCGUGAGUGAUGAAGGCCUUUGGGUCGUAAAGCUCUGUCAGAGGGGAAGAAAUGAUAUAGUGCUAAUACCACUUUAUCUUGACGGUACCCUCAAAGGAAGCACCGGCUAACUCCGUGCCAGCAGCCGCGGUAAUAC